This 468-nucleotide ribosomal RNA is filed under the name uncultured bacterium. RNAcentral's name for it is "partial 16S ribosomal RNA". It matches the Rfam family "Bacterial small subunit ribosomal RNA", at positions 28 to 507 of the family's 1533-position model. The record is from RNAcentral.
GACGAACGCUGGCGGCGUGCUUAACACAUGCAAGUCGAACGGAAAGGCCCUGCUUUUGUGGGGUUCUCGAUUGGCGAACGGGUGAGUAACACGUGAGUAACCUGCCCUUGACUUUGGGAUAACUUCAGGAAACUGGGGCUAAUAUCGGAUAGGAGCUCCUGCUGCAUGGUGGGGGUUGGAAAGUUUCGGCUGUCGGGGAUGGACUCGCGGCUUAUCAGCUUGUUGGUGGGGUAGUGGCUUACCAAGGCUUUGACGGGUAGCCGGCCUGGGAGGGUGGACGGCGUCCUGGGGACUGAGAGACGGCCCAGAGUCGUACGGGAGGCAGCAGUGGGGAGUAUUGCACAGUGGGCGGGCGCCUGAGGCAGAAACGCUGCGUGCGGGAUGCCGGCCUUCGGGGUGUAAACCGCUUUCGCCUGUGACGAAGCGUGUGUGACGGUAAUGGGUGAAGAAGCACCGGCUAACUACGUG